AAAAAUCUUGAAGCCUUGAAGCCACCUGCAGGGCUGUUGUUUUCCAAGGCCUUGCACUUACGUAAUUGACAUCUACAUAGACACACUCCUGGAACAUAUCGGGGGAGGCAGGCAUUCUGCUUGUUCUCAUUUGUUCUCAAAUUACAUGAUAAAAUACAUGUUUUGGACCUUUUAAACCAAAGGGAGUUAUUGAGCCCGCUUACAAAAUCCAUAACAUGUUAGCAGGACUUAUCUAGCUGCCUCCACAGAAUAGCCAAGCAACUCUACACCCGCUUUAGCCCCCACAAAAACAAGCGGAUUGCACUACAAAUAAUUUGCCUAUUUGGAAAAUGAAAGCUUCUCUGUAGUUUGAGGUCCUAUUUUUUCUUUAAGUUGUUACAGUCUUUUCAUGGUCCUUGAGGUCUAGGUUAGGUUUUUGUUUGGGGUAAUUUUUGUAUCCUAUGGAUACUAUUUAAUCUUUAGUAUUGAGUCAGUAUUUCUCACUUAGGCCUUAGGGGAAUACUGCCUGAAGUAUGUAGGGGGCAUGCGGAAUUCAGACGUGGCUUGGAAACUGCACCAUGGGUUCACCCAAGAAACAGACCAGAGGCAACACAUUCUAUCACUAAAACGUGUUCUCAGUUACACUUCCCUUCCAAAGCAGGAUUAUUUGUGCCCAUGAGGGAAACACGAAGGAUUGUCAGUAUUCAUUUGCUAUCAGAACUGCCUUUGAACUUCAGGGAAGCCGCCAUCUUGUUUUAGUUCACUCCUCUAAAGCACAGUGUCUGCAACAUGAAACACUAGUAAGACACAGUUAUCCAGAAAGAGCCCUAGAGAUGGAUAAGGAACCUGUUGGAAUGCUCUGAUAUUAAGAAAAAAAAAAUUAAAUUCAAAACCAAAAACAAGUCACAAGGGAGUUUUAUGCCUAUGUAAUCAGUGCAGACAGCCGUUAAGUAAAUGAAGAGGCAACUAACAAUGUCAGAAAAGAGACCGGGCGGUUCCGGCUGACACUACCCUAAUCUUCCAGGACCCAUUAAAUGGUAGUUUCAACGCAUUACCUACCAUAACAUCCUUGAAUAUCACUGAUUUUAUUUGCAGUAUCAAACAUUCCAUUUCAUGCCCCAUUAACAGUGGGAGCCUGGGCUUUUUGACGCAGCUAAACAUUUUACUAACUACCUGGACUAAGUAACCAAUUAACUUUUGGAGACAAUACGGCCAAUUAAGCGCGAAAAGAAAAUUUGGAAAACAGGCUUUUCCUAUCCGGAUGAACAGAGAUAAUUUGUGUCGAUGGAUGUUCUGUGAAGGCCUAUUGUGUCGAGCAGCGUAUUAAAACAUAAACAUGGCUCUUCCCCCAAGAAACUUACAUUUCAGUAAGGGAGCCUGGCCAAAAUGGAAAACUGCAAGGUUCAAAUCCUGGAGUGCAGAAGAAGCAUUAGGCAUUGACCCUGUGGCUUCCUAAUAGAUCCGCAAAGUGCUUUGUUCCUGGAAAUCAUCCGAUGAGUAGUUCAGUGCUAUUGUAUAUCUUGUUAGAGCAGCCGAAGUGCCACAAAAUGAACUAAAAUCUCCCUGCAGAGUUGCUGUAUCAUAUGCUGAGAACAUUCGGAACUUUCAACAAAUUCAUGUUACGAUCCUGGGUAGCCAUGGUUAAAUCUGUACAGGGGUUAAAUGAGAAAUAUGAGCCUGCUGUUAAGUGUCUUCUGAGAGUGACAAAGCUCUGGCCAUAAGGGAUGGGAGAGGAGGGAUUUCUUCUCAGCCUUCCAGCCCUUUCCAGCUGUAUCACAGACAGGAGACAUAAUGCAAAGGGGCUCAGACAUUGACUUCCUGGAUCUUUGCGGCCCCAGGCAUUGACCCCCUCUACCUGGCUUUUCCUACGCUGUAAAAUGAGGAUCCUCCUAUAUUAUGGAGUUUAUUGUGACAACUAAAUAGCUGAGAAGAAGGACAUCUCAUUUGUUUUAACUAUGCAGUUUCCUGUCUAUCUAUCUAUCUAUCCCAUCAAUCUAUCAAUCAAUCUAUCAAUCUGUCUAUCCCUAUCUAUCUAUCCAUCUAUCUAUCUAUAUCUGUCUAUAUCUAUCUAACAUUUAUCUAUCAUCUAUUCAUCUAUCAGCUAUCUUCUGUCUAUCAAUAUUUCAAUCAAUCUCUCUAUCCCUAUCAAUUAAUCUAUCUACCUACCUAUCAACUAUCCAUCUAUCUCUAUCAUCUAUCAUCUAUUCAUCUAUCAUUUAUCAUCUGUCAAUCCAUCUUCCUACUAUCUAUCAAAAGCAACACAUUUUCUUCCUGACUUUAAAAAUAUUUAAGUGGGCCGGGAGGAUGGCUCACGCCUGUAAUCCCAGCACUUUGGGAGGCCUAGGCGGGCGGAUCACGAGGUCAGGAGAUGGAGACCAUCCUGGCUAACAUGGUGAAACCCCGUCUCUACUAAAAAUACAAAAAAAAAAAAAAAUUAACCAGGCGUGGUGGAGGGCGCCUGUAGUCCCAGCUACUCGGGAGACUGAGGCAGGAGAAUGGGGAGAACCCGGGAGGCGGAGCUUGCAGUGAGCCGAGAUCAUGCCACUGCACUCCAGCCUGGGCGACAGAGCAAGACUCCAUCUCAAAAGAAACAAAAACAAAAACGUAAGUGAUACUCUGUCCACUCUUUUGAUUGAGGAGGUCUGAUUUUCAGGCUUUGGAUUUUAUUAUGUCUUCAAUAUAAUAAUUGUUCCAUGUAUCUCUCCUAAAUUGCCAUUUGAAAAACUGCUUUUCUGAAGUUUAAAGUGCACAUUUUGAUACAUCUUGACACAUAUAUACACCCAUGAAAUCAUCACCACAAUCAGGAUAGUAGAUCUAUCCAUUACCGCCAAGGUUUACUUGCACUCCUUUGAACUUUCUCCCCACUCCUCACCCCCUGCCUAUCCCCAAUCCUUAAGCAAUCACUGAUUUGCUUUCUGUCACUAUCAGUUAAUUUGAAUUUUUCAGAAAUGUAUAUAAAUAAAAUCAUUCGACGUGUAUGCUCUUUUUCUGUUCACCCGGUACAAUUUGAGAUUUAGCCAUGUUUUUGCAUGUGUCAAUAGUUUAUUUUUUUGUUGCUCAGUACUAAUCCAUUUUAUGGAUACAGAGAAAUGUAUUAAUGCAAUCCCAUAUUAAUAGGCAUUUGGGUUGUUUCCAGGUUUGGGCUGUUACAAAUAAAGCUGCUAUGAACAUUUUUGUGCAAGUCUUUUUAUGAGUAUAUUCCUUUAUUUCUUUUGGGUAAAUACCUAGAAGUGGGAUGGGUGUAUCACAUGGUACGUAAAUAUUUAAAUUUUUAAGAGAAUGCCAAACUGUUUUUCAAAGUAAUUGCACCAUUUUAUAUUCCCACCAGGAAUAUAUGAGAAUUCCAGUUCCUCUACAUACUCACAGACAUAUUGUAUGGUCAGU
This 3363-nucleotide long non-coding RNA is filed under the name Homo sapiens (human). RNAcentral's name for it is "HSALNT0225185". The record is from RNAcentral. Lineage: Eukaryota; Metazoa; Chordata; Mammalia; Primates; Hominidae.